Molecule: long non-coding RNA, 561 nt
Organism: Ctenopharyngodon idella (grass carp)
Lineage: Eukaryota; Metazoa; Chordata; Actinopteri; Cypriniformes; Xenocyprididae
Exons: 3
Source: RefSeq, a predicted model, not a curated record
CAAUCAGACUUACAUCUGGAAUAAGAGGGAAAGACAUCAGUGUAAAUAUCACAUGCUUCAUUCUGUUUGAACACACUGGAUUGGUCAGUCAGGCGUCUGAGCUGUUAUCCAGUAAAGGUUGACUGGACUCUACAGGUGAUUCUACAGGUUUUGGACAAUCUAGAAUUUUAAGCGGACUCAGAUCUCCUACACCUGGAUUAAACAGAGGAACAAUGACUGAUCCAGUGAAUCUGGUGCUCAUGGUCAGGAGAUGUUUCCUCUCUUUGACAUUGUAAAAUGACAGCUGACCGUCAUCAUAAUCUAACAGAACUCCCAGUUGUUCAGGUCUCGGCGUCAGUGAGAGUUUAACUGGUGGAUCUGAGUUGAUGUAAAGGCCAUUAGGACCGUCUGAACACAGAAACCAGAAACCGUUUGAUGGAGUUAAAGCAGAUUUGUCUUUUGAACGAAAACUUCCAUGUUUCACCACACCAAUUAACCAGUAGUUUUUAGGAGGUGUAUCUUCUCGUGCCAAUGAAACCUCCCAAUAGUGACGUCCAGAUGUAAAUCUUUGAGCUCCAAACG